Molecule: ribosomal RNA, 460 nt
Filed under: uncultured bacterium
Lineage: Bacteria
Description: partial 16S ribosomal RNA
Rfam family: Bacterial small subunit ribosomal RNA
Source: RNAcentral
CCUACGGUGUGCAGCAGUGAGGAAUAUUGGUCAAUGGGCGGAAGCCUGAACCAGCCAAGUCGCGUGAGGGAAUAAGGCCCUACGGGUCGUAAACCUCUUUUGCCGGGGAGCAAGGGCGGGGACGUGUCCCGGCCCGGAGAGUACCCGGAGAAAAAGCAUCGGCUAACUCCGUGCCAGCAGCCGCGGUAAUACGGAGGAUGCGAGCGUUAUCCGGAUUUAUUGGGUUUAAAGGGUGCGUAGGCGGGAUGCCAAGUCAGCGGUCAAAUACGGGGGCUCAACCUGCGUCCGCCGUUGAAACUGGCGUUCUUGAGUGGGCGAGAAGUACGCGGAAUGCGUGGUGUAGCGGUGAAAUGCAUAGAUAUCACGCAGAACCCCGAUUGCGAAGGCAGCGUACCGGCGCCCGACUGACGCUGAAGCACGAAAGCGUGGGUAUCGAACAGGAUUAGAUACCCCUGUAGUC